UACCAGUACACCAUCUUUACUCCAGUCAUUCAAGGAUACACAGUUCUAUUCAAAGACAUUUACUGAAAUGGCAUGAUCACCUUGCCUAUAUUGAAAUUACCAAAUUGGAGAGAUCUUAAUUUCAUCCCUCAGCCAAAUAUACUACUCACACCCUCUGAAGUCACAUGAGGAUCCUCCUGAACCUUUCCCAAUAGAAGAGGGUCAUGGGAGGUGAAGAUAUGAAUCUGAGGAAGAGCUGGCACCCACAAACCUCCCAAAAUGUGGAGAAAAAGUAUGGAAGGCUGAGCUGAUGUGGAAUGGAAAAAGAUUGAGGAGCUGCAGUGGGAGCUUCAGGAAGAGAGGGCAAGGGAGGAGAUGCAAUGCUAUGCACAGGAUGUGAGAGCUGUCAAAAAAAAAAAAAGAAAAAAGAAAAUGAAAACUGGAAUGGAUGUACCGGGGGCU
Molecule: long non-coding RNA, 441 nt
Filed under: Monodelphis domestica (gray short-tailed opossum)
Lineage: Eukaryota; Metazoa; Chordata; Mammalia; Didelphimorphia; Didelphidae
Description: lncRNA (ENSMODG00000044829.1)
Source: RNAcentral